GAUGAACGCUAGCGGCAGGCCUAACACAUGCCAGUCGAGGGGGAGGUUACUUUCGGGUAACUGAGACCGGCGUACGGGUGCGUAACGCGUAUACAAUCUGCCUUUCACUGGGGGAUAGCCCGAAGAAAUUUGGAUUAAUACCCCAUAGUAUAGUAAUACGGCAUCGUGAUGCUAUUAAAGCUUAGGUGGUGAAAGAUGAGUAUGCGUUCUAUUAGCUAGUUGGAGAGGUAACGGCUCCCCAAGGCGAUGAUAGAUAGGGGUUCUGAGAGGGAUGUCCCCCACACUGGUACUGAGAUACGGACCAGACUCCUACGGGAGGCAGCAGUGAGGAAUAUUGGACAAUGGUCGGAAGACUGAUCCAGCCAUGCCGCGUGCAGGAUGAAGGUCUUAUGGAUUGUAAACUGCUUUUGUAAGGGAAGAAUAAGGGCUACGCGUAGUUUGAUGACGGUACCUUACGAAUAAGCAUCGGCUAACUCCGUG
This 480-nucleotide ribosomal RNA is filed under the name uncultured bacterium. RNAcentral's name for it is "partial 16S ribosomal RNA". It matches the Rfam family "Bacterial small subunit ribosomal RNA", at positions 28 to 507 of the family's 1533-position model. The record is from RNAcentral.